GCUUGAGGGCCCAUCCCCCAGGAGCAGCUGAGCCAUGGCGGAGGGUGAAAUCACCACGUUCACAGCCCUGAUGGAGAAGUUCGACCUACCCCUGGGCAACUACAAAAAGCCUAGGCUGCUCUACUGCAGCAAUGGCGGCUACUUCCUGCGCAUCCAGCCAGACGGUAAAGUGGACGGGACCAGGGAUCGGAGCGAUCAGCACAUUCAACUGCAGCUAAGCGCGGAAAGCGUGGGCGAGGUGUAUAUAAAGAGCACCGAGUCUGGCCACUAUUUGGCUAUGGACACCGAAGGACUUUUAUAUGGCUCACAGGCACCCAGUGAAGACUGCUUGUUCCUGGAGCGGCUGGAGGAGAACCACUAUAACACGUACGUGUCCAAGAAGCACGCUGAGAAGAAUUGGUUUGUCGGUCUCAAGAAGAACGGGAGCUGCAAACGAGGUCCCCGGACUCACUACGGCCAGAAAGCCAUCCUCUUCCUCCCGCUCCCCGUGGCGUCCGACUAGCCGCCUCUCCUCUCGGUACUGGGCCCUUCCAGAACCCCUAGAACCUGAGACACCCGCCUGUUGCCUGCCCUCCUGCUUCUCCCAAACCCACAAACCACCGCAAACCAUCAGGCUUUCAACUCUUCCUCCCUCAUCGGCCACUUUCCCUGUCCCAGGGCUGUUUGGCAGAGGUGGGUGGGUGAUCCUCAAGAUGGGUUCUCAGGCCAGUCUCUCCGGGGCCUACCAAAGGGCGAUCCGGAGGAUUCCCGGGGAAUCUCACAUUCAGAGCCACGUGUGA
RNAcentral lists this long non-coding RNA (779 nucleotides) under Ornithorhynchus anatinus (platypus). Its description in RNAcentral is "lncRNA (ENSOANG00000041056.1)". Lineage: Eukaryota; Metazoa; Chordata; Mammalia; Monotremata; Ornithorhynchidae. The record is from RNAcentral.